RNAcentral lists this signal recognition particle RNA (97 nucleotides) under Verrucomicrobiia bacterium. Its description in RNAcentral is "signal recognition particle sRNA small type". It matches the Rfam family "Bacterial small signal recognition particle RNA". Rfam says of the family: The signal recognition particle (SRP) is a universally conserved ribonucleoprotein involved in the co-translational targeting of proteins to membranes. Archaeal SRP consists of a 7S RNA and homologues of the eukaryotic SRP19 and SRP54 proteins. The record is from RNAcentral. Lineage: Bacteria; Pseudomonadati; Verrucomicrobiota; Verrucomicrobiia.
GGCUGGGUCCCACGGAAGAAGGGCGGGCGAAUCCCGCCAGGGUCGGAAGACAGCAACGGUAGCUUGACCUUUCUCUGCCGUGGUCAACCUGGCCCCA